AUGAGCACGGAGAACCACCCACAAACUGACGGCCAAACAGAGAGGGUGAACCAGUGCAUUGAGACUUACCUACGCUGCUUUGUUCAGGCAUGCCCGAAACGCUGGAGCUUUUGGGUCCCCCUGGCGCAAUUCUGGUACAAUUCAUCGCACCACUCGGCCAUCGGAAUGACACCCUUCAAGGCCAUGUUCAGGAGGGAACCAAGACACUGGGGGAUCACUGCUUCUUCUUCAUCUUCAGUGUCGGCACUAAAAACCUGGCUAGAGGAACGAGCAGUCAUGCAGGACCUCAUCCAAUAG
Molecule: ribosomal RNA, 297 nt
Filed under: Triticum aestivum (bread wheat)
Lineage: Eukaryota; Viridiplantae; Streptophyta; Magnoliopsida; Poales; Poaceae
Description: partial small subunit ribosomal RNA
Source: RNAcentral